Molecule: ribosomal RNA, 539 nt
Filed under: uncultured bacterium
Lineage: Bacteria
Description: bacterial SSU rRNA
Rfam family: Bacterial small subunit ribosomal RNA
Source: RNAcentral
AGUUUGAUCCUGGCUCAGGAUGAACGCUGGCGGUAUGCUUAACACAUGCAAGUCGAACGAUGUGGGGACGUAGCAAUGCUACGUCUGUGCAUAGUGGCGGACGGGUGAGUAACGCGUGAGAAUCUAGCUUCAGGUUCGGGACAACAUUGGGAAACCGAUGCUAAUACCGGAUGUGCCGAGAGAUGAAAGGCUAGCCGCCUGAAGAAGAGCUCGCGUCUGAUUAGCUAGUUGGUGGUGUAAGGGACUACCAAGGCGACGAUCAGUAGCUGGUCUGAGAGGAUGAUCAGCCACACUGGAACUGAGACACGGUCCAGACUCCUACGGGAGGCAGCAGUGGGGAAUUUUCCGCAAUGGGCGAAAGCUGGACGGAGCAAUACCGCGUGAGGGAGGAAGGCUCUUGGGUUGUAAACCUCUUUUCUCAAGGAAGAAGUUCUGACGUUACUUGAGGAAUCAGCAUCGGCUAACUCCCUGCCAGCAGCCGCGGUAAUACGCAGGGAUGCAAGCGUUAUCCGGGAUGAUUGGGCGUAAAUYGRNSSAMA